GGGAAACCCAGUGUGACUCGUCACACUAUCAUUAACUGAAUCCAUAGGUUAAUGAGGCGAACCGGGGGAACUGAAACAUCUAAGUACCCCGAGGAAAAGAAAUCAACCGAGAUUCCCCCAGUAGCGGCGAGCGAACGGGGAGGAGCCCAGAGCCUGAAUCAGCAUGUGUGUUAGUGGAAGCGUCUGGAAAGGCGCGCGAUACAGGGUGACAGCCCCGUACACAAAAGCGCAUGUGCUGUGAGCUCGAUGAGUAGGGCGGGACACGUGGUAUCCUGUCUGAAUAUGGGGGGACCAUCCUCCAAGGCUAAAUACUCCUGACUGACCGAUAGUGAACCAGUACCGUGAGGGAAAGGCGAAAAGAACCCCGGCGAGGGGAGUGAAAAAGAACCUGAAACCGUGUACGUACAAGCAGUGGGAGCCCCACCACCAAAGCAUUUGCUGUACCGCGUUGACGGAGCGAAGCGACGUCAAACCGAUAAAACAGCAGUGUAAAGUGAGCCGCAGGGCGCUUUGCGCGACAGCGCAAAGGCAGGCGGUUUCGCGUAGCGAAAGCGAAUGCUUUGGGGUGGGGUGACUGCGUACCUUUUGUAUAAUGGGUCAGCGACUUAUAUUCUGUAGCAAGGUUAACCGAAUAGGGGAGCCGGAGGGAAACCGAGUCUUAAUUGGGCGUUAAGUUGCAGGGUAUAGACCCGAAACCCGGUGAUCUAGCCAUGGGCAGGUUGAAGGUUGGGUAACACUAACUGGAGGACCGAACCGACUAAUGUUGAAAAAUUAGCGGAUGACCUGUGGCUGGGGGUGAAAGGCCAAUCAAACCGGGAGAUAGCUGGUUCUCCCCGAAAGCUAUUUAGGUAGCGCCUCGUGAAUUCAUCUCCGGGGGUAGAGCACUGUUUCGGCUAGGGGGCCAUCCCGGCUUACCAACCCGAUGCAAACUGCGAAUACCGGAGAAUGUUAUCACGGGAGACACACGGCGGGUGCUAACGUCCGUCGUGAAGAGGGAAACAACCCAGACCGCCAGCUAAGGUCCCAAAGUCAUGGUUAAGUGGGAAACGAUGUGGGAAGGCCCAGACAGCCAGGAUGUUGGCUUAGAAGCAGCCAUCAUUUAAAGAAAGCGUAAUAGCUCACUGGUCGAGUCGGCCUGCGCGGAAGAUGUAACGGGGCUAAACCAUGCACCGAAGCUGCGGCAGCGACACUGUGUGUUGUUGGGUAGGGGAGCGUUCUGUAAGCCUGUGAAGGUGUGUCGUGAGGCAUGCUGGAGGUAUCAGAAGUGCGAAUGCUGACAUAAGUAACGAUAAAGCGGGUGAAAAGCCCGCUCGCCGGAAGACCAAGGGUUCCUGUCCAACGUUAAUCGGGGCAGGGUGAGUCGACCCCUAAGGCGAGGCCGAAAGGCGUAGUCGAUGGGAAACGGGUUAAUAUUCCCGUACUUGGUGUUACUGCGAAGGGGGGACGGAGAAGGCUAUGUUGGCCGGGCGACGGUUGUCCCGGUUUAAGCGUGUAGGUGUGUGUUCCAGGUAAAUCCGGUUCACUUUAACACUGAGGCGUGACGACGAGGCACUACGGUGCUGAAGCAACAAAUGCCCUGCUUCCAGGAAAAGCCUCUAAGCAUCAGGUAACAUCAAAUCGUACCCCAAACCGACACAGGUGGUCAGGUAGAGAAUACCAAGGCGCUUGAGAGAACUCGGGUGAAGGAACUAGGCAAAAUGGUGCCGUAACUUCGGGAGAAGGCACGCUGACACGUAGGUGAAGUGAUUUACUCAUGGAGCUGAAGUCAGUCGAAGAUACCAGCUGGCUGCAACUGUUUAUUAAAAACACAGCACUGUGCAAACACGAAAGUGGACGUAUACGGUGUGACGCCUGCCCGGUGCCGGAAGGUUAAUUGAUGGGGUCAGCGCAAGCGAAGCUCCUGAUCGAAGCCCCGGUAAACGGCGGCCGUAACUAUAACGGUCCUAAGGUAGCGAAAUUCCUUGUCGGGUAAGUUCCGACCUGCACGAAUGGCGUAAUGAUGGCCAGGCUGUCUCCACCCGAGACUCAGUGAAAUUGAACUCGCUGUGAAGAUGCAGUGUACCCGCGGCAAGACGGAAAGACCCCGUGAACCUUUACUAUAGCUUGACACUGAACAUUGAGCCUUGAUGUGUAGGAUAGGUGGGAGGCUUUGAAGUGUGGACGCCAGUCUGCAUGGAGCCGACCUUGAAAUACCACCCUUUAAUGUUUGAUGUUCUAACGUGGACCCGUUACCCGGGUUGCGGACAGUGUCUGGUGGGUAGUUUGACUGGGGCGGUCUCCUCC
Molecule: ribosomal RNA, 2283 nt
Filed under: Salmonella enterica subsp. enterica serovar Enteritidis
Lineage: Bacteria; Pseudomonadati; Pseudomonadota; Gammaproteobacteria; Enterobacterales; Enterobacteriaceae
Description: partial 23S ribosomal RNA
Rfam family: Bacterial large subunit ribosomal RNA
Source: RNAcentral